CUAAUACAUGCAAGUCGAGCGGAUCUUUCCUUCGGGAAAGGUUAGCGGCGGACGGGUGAGUAACACGUAGGCAACCUGCCUGUAAGAUCGGGAUAACUCACGGAAACGUGUGCUAAAACCGGAUAGGUGGUUUCUCCUCCUGGAGAGAUCAGGAAAGACGGCGCAAGCUGUCACUUACAGAUGGGCCUGCGGCGCAUUAGCUAGUUGGUGAGGUAACGGCUCACCAAGGCGACGAUGCGUAGCCGACCUGAGAGGGUGAACGGCCACACUGGGACUGAGACACGGCCCAGACUCCUACGGGAGGCAGCAGUAGGGAAUCUUCGGCAAUGGACGAAAGUCUGACCGAGCAACGCCGCGUGAGUGAUGAAGGUUUUCGGAUCGUAAAACUCUGUUGCCAGGGAAGAAGGAUGAGGAGAGUAACUGCUCUUCAUUUGACGGUACCUGAGAAGAAAGCCCCGGCUAACUACGUGCCAGCAGCCGCGGUAAUACGUAGGGGGCAAGCGUUGUCCGGAAUUAUUGGGCGUAAAGCGCGCGCAGGCGGUCUUUUAAGUUCGGUGUUUAAACCCAGGGCUCAACCUUGGGUCGCACUGGAAACUGGGAGACUGGAGUGUAGGAGAGGAAAGUGGAAUUCCACGUGUAGCGGUGAAAUGCGUAGAGAUGUGGAGGAACACCAGUGGCGAAGGCGACUUUCUGGCCUAUAACUGACGCUGAGGCGCGAAAGCGUGGGGAGCAAACAGGAUUAGAUACCCUGGUAGUCCACGCCGUAAACGAUGCAUGCUAGGUGUUAGGGGUUUCGAUACCCUUGGUGCCGAAGUAAACACAUUAAGCAUGCCGCCUGGGGAGUACGCUCGCAAGAGUGAAACUCAAAGGAAUUG
Molecule: ribosomal RNA, 875 nt
Filed under: uncultured bacterium
Lineage: Bacteria
Description: bacterial SSU rRNA
Rfam family: Bacterial small subunit ribosomal RNA
Source: RNAcentral